GUCUAUGUCAUUGUCUAUUUUUAGAUCCCUUGAUGAUGACAUUGAUGGCUGAUCCCGUGAUCCUACCGACCAGCGGUAAGGUGAUGGACCGACCAGUGAUCACAAGGCAUUUAUUAAACUCAUCUACAGAUCCAUUUAAUAGAGAACCGCUGAACCAAGAGAUGCUUGUCCCGGCGACAGACGUCAAGAAUAGAAUCGACGAAUGGAUCAAGGCCAAAAAAAUCAGCAAAUCAUCCAGAUAAAUGAAAUGGUGUUAUUUUUAUUUGUUUAUUCCCUGGUAAAAAGAUUAUAAUUAUAACUAAAUAAAUUCUUUGGUUUAGAUGGAUUGCAGGAGAACUUCAUGAUCGUGAGGUUUAGUGAUUGCAGAGAAAAAACUGAGAACCCGUCUAAGAAAAUCCUUUACCAGAAGUUGGAAUUAACCUCUUCUCGAUUUUUCUUCCGAAGCGGAAAGCCAAACGGUAUACGGUAAACAAGCGGUUUUCCGCUUCGGUCUGACGGCCUCAAAAUGAACAGAUCUUGUAAAUAUACAGCGAAAAAGUGUAAAUUCCAAUAUAUUGCGAAUGGAUAUUC
Molecule: long non-coding RNA, 570 nt
Organism: Exaiptasia diaphana
Lineage: Eukaryota; Metazoa; Cnidaria; Anthozoa; Actiniaria; Aiptasiidae
Exons: 2
Source: RefSeq, a predicted model, not a curated record